GUUUCUGUAGUGUAGUGGUUAUCACGUCCGCCUAACACGUGGAAGGUCGCAGGUUCGAGCCCAGCCAGAAACA
This 73-nucleotide transfer RNA is filed under the name Pocillopora damicornis (cauliflower coral). RNAcentral describes it as "tRNA-Val". It matches the Rfam family "tRNA". From Rfam's summary of the family: Transfer RNA (tRNA) molecules are approximately 80 nucleotides in length. Their secondary structure includes four short double-helical elements and three loops (D, anti-codon, and T loops). The record is from Rfam by way of RNAcentral. Lineage: Eukaryota; Metazoa; Cnidaria; Anthozoa; Scleractinia; Pocilloporidae.